Molecule: ribosomal RNA, 253 nt
Filed under: uncultured bacterium
Lineage: Bacteria
Description: partial 16S ribosomal RNA
Rfam family: Bacterial small subunit ribosomal RNA
Source: RNAcentral
UACGUAGGGUGCAGGCGUUAAUCGGAAUUACUGGGCGUAAAGCGUGCGCAGGCGGUCUUUUAAGUCAGAUGUGAAAUCCCCGGGCUUAACCUGGGAACCGCGUUUGAAACUGAAAGGCUAGAGUGUGGCAGAGGGGGGUGGAAUUCCACGUGUAGCAGUGAAAUGCGUAGAGAUGUGGAGGAACACCGAUGGCGAAGGCAGCCCCCUGGGCUAACACUGACGCUCAUGCACGAAAGCCAGGGGAGCGAACGGG